GCAUCAUUUGUAACAAAGUUUCCGUAGGUGAACCAGCGGAGGGAUCAUU
Molecule: ribosomal RNA, 49 nt
Filed under: Trichoderma harzianum
Lineage: Eukaryota; Fungi; Ascomycota; Sordariomycetes; Hypocreales; Hypocreaceae
Description: partial 18S ribosomal RNA
Source: RNAcentral